Transfer RNA from Exophiala aquamarina CBS 119918, 72 nucleotides. It matches the Rfam family "tRNA". Rfam says of the family: Transfer RNA (tRNA) molecules are approximately 80 nucleotides in length. Their secondary structure includes four short double-helical elements and three loops (D, anti-codon, and T loops). The record is from Rfam. NCBI's taxonomy places the organism in Eukaryota, Fungi, Ascomycota, Eurotiomycetes, Chaetothyriales, Herpotrichiellaceae.
GGUUCCUUAGCUUAAUAGGUAAAGCGUAUUUUUGAUAAAAAUAUUUUCGAGGUUCAAAUCCACGAGGAAUCA